CCUAUUCUUUUUUUUUUAAUAAAUUAUAUUGUGAUUUUACAGAGUAAAAGGAGCCAGCUGGACUUUUGCUAGCAGCUACCCUCAGCCCACCUUACCGUCCUAUGAUCUCUGUCUUCCAGAUAAAAAGACCAUGUGAUUUACUGAAUAAUUUUAAGCUCACAGUGAUGGAAGCUCUACUCCAGGCAUGUGUAGCCAAGAAGAUAGGGUUCUCUUUCACUCCAGUUCUCUGAAAGACAAUGGAUUGUGGAGCAUACUGAAGACUAUUCCUAAAUGGCUAUUUGUGUUGGGUGGUCAAGGCUAUUCAGAAAAUCUCAGAGGAGGACAAAUGAUAGUGCACUGCAGCCAGCUCGGACUGGCUUGCAAGAGUCAGUUAUUCAUUUUUCAGGAAUUCCAUGUUGUUAAAUGCAGACAUUAUUAAAAUUUAAAUUAC
RNAcentral lists this long non-coding RNA (430 nucleotides) under Homo sapiens (human). Its description in RNAcentral is "HSALNT0353032". Lineage: Eukaryota; Metazoa; Chordata; Mammalia; Primates; Hominidae. The record is from RNAcentral.